CGAGUUUGUCUUCUGUCGCACCUUGCGUUUUCAUUUCCUGCAAUUUUACGUACGAGAUUAGUUUGCAUGAUUAUACUUAAAAAUGGGAAAUUUUUUUUUAUUUUUUUUUACAUACAGCUGGCAUGUCGACGGAAUAUGUGAUGUCAUCGAAGGUUAGAGAAUGGGGUUCGAAGGGAAGAAUCAUUCCUCUCUUGCGGUUUGCAUUGGCUUCGAUUGCGUCUGUUCUUGUGGAUGAAGAACCGGAAGACAUGCUUCUUCGUCUGAUCGCGUUGCCUUGAGCUGAAACAGGGUAAUCUUCGGUGUCUUGAGGUAAUACAGCUUGAGUUUUAUCGAAAGCUGCAACGUAUGGUUUUUUAUAUGUUAAAGAUUGAUAAAUUAAUUUUAAAAAUAAUAUAUUAAAAAAAAAUGAAAAACUUACGGUCGAGAUAUGUGAGAGCUAAAAGAUAGAGGAUGUUGAAUAGAAAAAUGAAACCGAAUGUUGCCCCUGUUCCAAUCCAGUACCAAUACGGUUGAGGAAAGAAGCCUCGAGAUUCCAUCACUAGAACUCCUAAUUUCGUUCCGUUUACCAACUAUAAAAAACGGUAACAUUCUUGAUUAGAUUUUUCGAGAAAAAUAAAAAAAAAAAUUAAAAAGCUCGAUGCUUCGACUUACUUUGCUCCACUGAUGCCCUGUGAAUUCAUUAACGAUAAUUGCAUUCUGAGCGUACAUCAAAGGAGAUGACCAAAAUGCCCAUAUCCACCAUUUCAUUACAUCCUCUGCCAUAACCAAAAAACAAAAUCGAGUGUCAUGAAACAGUGUUAUUUAUUAAAUGACGACUUUUUAUUUAUUUUUCUUUCGUACCUCGUGCUAGGACAACUCCACCUAGCGCGAAAAGCAUGAGCAAGGCAAACAAGCCGAACGUGUUUGCGACGAUCAUAUUUCUACCAGCUGCACCGAU
RNAcentral lists this long non-coding RNA (937 nucleotides) under Erythranthe guttata (spotted monkey flower). Its description in RNAcentral is "long non-coding RNA (EGUT_LNC002282)". Lineage: Eukaryota; Viridiplantae; Streptophyta; Magnoliopsida; Lamiales; Phrymaceae. The record is from RNAcentral.